GUGGAAGAAGAAGAGGAAUACUUCAUGAUCUCUCUCUGUCUCUCUGUCUCUCUCUCAACCUACAGCGAAAGAAGGAAGAGAAGAGGAAGCCGAUAUAUGGAGUCUUGGAUGUGUUCCUUUUUUGUGUAUACUUUUUGCCUUUUUUGUUUGUCUCAGAGUUUGUGGAGAGGCUCUGAGCCUCCAUUAGGGCUGCAGGGACGGGAUCUAAGAGCUAGGUGUGGUGGAGGUGUUCAAUGCUCCACUGCAGUUUGCAGUGAGCUGUGACCUCAAGCAAAGCGUGAGAGAGAGAGAGAGGAGCUGUGUUCGACAGAGGCUACUUUUUUGGCACAUUAUUUUGAGGGUGGUGGGUAUUCUCUACGCAGUGUGUUGGGACAAGGAACCAGACAACGUGAAGCGGGGCCUCCAUGGCAGCGAGAGACGCUGCAAUGUUGGCCCCUUCCAUUCCUCGACGAGCCAUCCUUCCUCUUUCUACGUGUACAAACGACGUCGUCGUCGUCGUCGUCGUCGACGGAGAGAGACGAUGGAGGUAGGCAUAUGCUGGCUCGAUCCACGAUGAGGUGUCCGUGCUGCAGUGGCCCGUCCACUGCGAACUCUGCCUCUGGUUUUGGAUUCUUUGGAGAGAUUUGACACCAAGAAAGGUCUGUCUACAGGUGUCUCGAUUUGGCCAAUGCAUCAAACAAACACGCCAUUUAAACAUCAUUUAUAAUAAGAUGGAGUGAUGGAGCGGAAA
Musa acuminata AAA Group (dessert banana) is the source of this 730-nucleotide long non-coding RNA. RefSeq lists it as uncharacterized. NCBI's taxonomy places the organism in Eukaryota, Viridiplantae, Streptophyta, Magnoliopsida, Zingiberales, Musaceae. The transcript has 2 exons. The record is from RefSeq and is a predicted model, not a curated record.